This is a long non-coding RNA of Monomorium pharaonis (pharaoh ant), 456 nucleotides long. RefSeq lists it as uncharacterized. The record is from RefSeq and is a predicted model, not a curated record. Lineage: Eukaryota; Metazoa; Arthropoda; Insecta; Hymenoptera; Formicidae. The transcript has 2 exons.
UCCCCGCGUCGUUUGAACGUGUCUUGACGACCGGGUGUACGUACGUAGGAACGUUCGCACUCAUACACGCAUACGCGCAGAGACGGAGAGCGACACGCACCCCCCGCCGCCGACGUCGUCGUGUACCGCGGGGGUGAAUGUGCGUCUGGCUGUUCUGUGUAUCGCUGUAUUUUACUUGGGUAACUAUUCACGAUGAGACGCAAUAUCGCUUCGCUGCUUAUUUAGGAUCUCCCGUCCGCCGCUUCUCGUUUACCUUGACAACUAAUUGCGAGAAAUUACGCGAUAAUAUUUAAUUGAUUAAAUUAUCGUUCAUACAUAUCUCGAUGUAUCGUAUAAUUUGGCGUUCCUCUGUACAUUCAUAUGCAUCUGCCCUACUUUAAGAAAGAAACAACGAAUGAUUUAUAGAAAUAAAUAGGAAAGAGAUGACGAUUCAAAUAAAAGGAACAAUUAAUCCGG